ACAGAUAGAUACAAAACAAUGCAGGUCCGUGGACAACUCUGCUCGGAGGGCUUCAGAGAUGUGCCUGUGCAUUUCACCUCCAGGAGAUCUCUGCCGGUGGACCUGCCGGGCCAGCACCUACUCUGCCAGCGUGUUUCUGCUGUUCAGAUUCCUCCAUUGAGGACUGCAUUGAACUGUUUGUCAAUGUUCAAUAAGCAAAGGUUUUGGGUGCUCUUAUGUGUCAGCAGCAAGACCAAACCUUAACUUGGCAAGGAAGCCUGCUCAAGGCCCACAAGACAUGCAGUUACCCAUGCCCAGGACAUCGCCUCAAUAUUCUACAUGUUCAUCACACCAGCCAUCGGAAAAAUCAUCCUGGAGAUGAAAAAUUUGGAGCGUUUCCGAUAAUAUGGAGACAACUGGAAAAGGAUGGAUGAGAUUGACCUGCGUGCCUACAUAGGGUGUGUAUAGGUCCCAAGGCGAGGCUACAUGUAGUCUCUGGGAUACAGAGAUUGGAAGAGCCAUUUUCUGUGCCACGAUGCCACUGGAAGUCUUUCACACUUUCUCAAGAAUGCAACGAUUUGAUAACCAUGAGUCAAGACCUGAAAGACGUGUGAGAGACAAACUGGCGGCCAUAAGAGAGGUCUGGGAGAAGUGGGUGGAGCCAUAAGAGAGGUCUGGGAGGAGUGGGUGGAGCCAUAAGAGAGGUCUGGGAGAAGUGGGU
Oncorhynchus kisutch (coho salmon) is the source of this 700-nucleotide long non-coding RNA. RefSeq lists it as uncharacterized. The transcript has 4 exons. Lineage: Eukaryota; Metazoa; Chordata; Actinopteri; Salmoniformes; Salmonidae. The record is from RefSeq and is a predicted model, not a curated record.